Molecule: microRNA precursor, 83 nt
Organism: Citrus x clementina
Lineage: Eukaryota; Viridiplantae; Streptophyta; Magnoliopsida; Sapindales; Rutaceae
Rfam family: mir-395 microRNA precursor family
About the family: mir-395 was identified in both Arabidopsis thaliana and Oryza sativa computationally and was later experimentally verified. mir-395 is thought to target mRNAs coding for ATP sulphurylases.
Source: Rfam
GUGUCCCCUAGAGUUCCCCUGAACACUUCAUUGGGGACUCCUUUUAACCCUACUGAAGUGUUUGGGGGAACUCCUGGAGUCAU